AAAACUAGCCGUUACUCACCCUGGAAAGGACAAAAAGUACAGUUGCAGAACUAGCCGUUACUGUUCAGCCCGUGUUUGGGUCGGCUCAACCUGUCCUUGGGUCGACCCAACUUUGUCUUGGGUCGACUCAAACAUUCCUUGGGUCGACCCUCUCAGAAACCACAGAAACUUCAAUUUCAGCCUUCCUUCCCAUGGGUCGACCCAACCAUUCUUUGGGUCGACUCAAAGUCCAC
This 233-nucleotide long non-coding RNA is filed under the name Phoenix dactylifera (date palm). RNAcentral describes it as "long non-coding RNA (PDAC_LNC023115)". Lineage: Eukaryota; Viridiplantae; Streptophyta; Magnoliopsida; Arecales; Arecaceae. The record is from RNAcentral.